Lytechinus pictus (painted urchin) is the source of this 1727-nucleotide long non-coding RNA. RefSeq lists it as uncharacterized. NCBI's taxonomy places the organism in Eukaryota, Metazoa, Echinodermata, Echinoidea, Temnopleuroida, Toxopneustidae. The record is from RefSeq and is a predicted model, not a curated record. The transcript is spliced from 3 exons.
ACUCGUAUGGCAUUUAGAGAAAUGAACAACAAUAUUCCACCGACCACAUUUGAAAUGUUCAUUCGCCGCAAACGAUCGGAGAAGUGUUAAAAUCUAGUUCAAUAAAGGCUCUCGCAAUGUGGGACGAUGAUGAAUGGUUGGGUGGCUUCUUACCUCGAGCGUCUUGACACGAAAUCAUCCAACGAUCUCCACGUGUAUGUUUCCCAUAGUGAUGACUCUCUUGAUUUUGACUUCUACCUCGCUUCCCAUAUCGAUUGAGCGAUUAGCAUGAUGAGAGUAAAGCUGAAGCCUGUGUGAAUGCAAGCGAUUUUAUUGUACCAGGCUAUGCAAUGGAUUAAAAGAUGAGAACACAGGAACUCGUUCGGUGAAGUCAACUGCUAUAUGUUCCACAUCGGACUAUUAUAUGUUUAAUAUGUUUAUAUCCAUAUCUUAGGGUUAGAGUUAGGGUAUAAAGAUAUAAGCAUACGUAAUGCCCGUAAUAUGCAUUAUACAUUUUAUGUACAAUCAUAUAAUUCAAGUUGUACUGAUGGCGUAACAUUUUAACCGUUCGUAUAAAGAUAACAUAAACGCUGAUAUGACCGUUUUAUAUUUUCAAUUCUAUUAAAGAAAAUGUAUUUAUUUCUUCAAUAAAAAAUAUACAAAAUGUUUUGCCAUGACAGCGGAGUAUUACAUUUAUAACCUAUCUUUAAACAAAAAUCAAGCUAAAAAAUGGAUACUACUUGUCAAAUAUAUUUUAGAUGUAAUUGUGUUUUAUAUGACACCGAGAUAGAUCCUUGUCAUUUGAUUGAUUGGUCGAUAUCAGUCAUUCAGCCCAUUUUACAACGACGUCAUCAACCGUGCAAUUAUAGAUCCAUUCAUCGUGCAAUUUUGGAUCCACUGAUACAAUUUUGUCAAAUGCACACGCGCACCCAGAUUACAGACACCACUCGUGCUUGCAGCGCGCGUAUUGUAUAUACCCAAUAAUCAACAGACCGAGCUUGCACUGCAUGAGCAUAUUUUUCAUCGAAAAUCACAAACUUCAUAUGAAAAAGAAUAUAAUAUUAGGUGUCAUAUAAACCAAAUAAUAAAUGUAUACUGUUUUGAAUUGAAGUACACGGAUGAUUCUUUUUCUAGCAAUGUAAUCAUGGCAAUCGACACGUUUCCAAUUGAGUGAAAAUAUUUUUGGUGGUGUAAGUCAAGUUAAAAUGUUAAGGAAUAUGAUUGAGGAACAUGUAUAGAAUGUUUUGGUUUAUAAAUUCAUAUAAUAGUAGUAUUCACGCGCUCAAAAUUAAAUCGCAAUAUGAAAAUUACAUUGAACAAGGUUUCAUUUCUGAAAUCAGUUAGCUGUCACCGAGAGAGGUCGACAUGCUUACAAAGUGUUUUAUUUUUGUAUAAUGAUUUGUUUUCCUGUAAAAUACAAAUGUAAUGUGAUAGUUACAAAUAAUUGAAAAAAACUAUACCGUACGUAUGACGGCCAUUUUAUAAAUUUUGAAUAUAAUCAGUGUUUAGAUGAUCGAAACAAGUUAGAGCCUUCUCAAUUUUCUUAUCAUUAUGUUUUUCUUCAGCUACCAAGUGUUGUGUUCAUGGUUGAAGUAGCAUAUACCAUAUUCAUCAAUUUAUUCAAUUACUUCAUGCAUUUUUAUUGUGUAAAGAAAGACUGAGUUAACGCAUCAUUUAUUAAUUUUGAGCGUGAUAGAGCGCAGUAUAAUAAACCAUUUCCAUGAAUGGCACGAAUAAAACAUACUCCC